This 219-nucleotide long non-coding RNA is filed under the name Elaeis guineensis (African oil palm). RNAcentral describes it as "long non-coding RNA (EGUI_LNC041105)". Lineage: Eukaryota; Viridiplantae; Streptophyta; Magnoliopsida; Arecales; Arecaceae. The record is from RNAcentral.
UAGACUGUUUUUGCUGCAUUUAAAAUCAUUUUGAAUUACAUACAUCCAACCUACUCAUUUUCUAACAAUUUCAAAAGCUCAAAGUGGCAUCCAUUGAAUGUGCUCUCAUUAGAUAGAAUGAAAGUAUUCCUUCACUUUUAAAGCUAUGCCCUCCUCUCCUUCCUAACCUUAUAGCCUUGGGUAGUUCCCUCCGCUUCUUAAGAAGCUCCUUAUUGGUUG